This 217-nucleotide long non-coding RNA is filed under the name Elaeis guineensis (African oil palm). Its description in RNAcentral is "long non-coding RNA (EGUI_LNC072683)". The record is from RNAcentral. Lineage: Eukaryota; Viridiplantae; Streptophyta; Magnoliopsida; Arecales; Arecaceae.
CAAGAUCGAUGCCCGGCAAUGGUGUCAAAUGCCACAAGAAGACGAAAAAGAGAGAGAGGUGGGAUCGAUGUUUACCUUGAACUCCGGUGGCAUCUCCAGCUCCAAUUUUUGAUGGACAUAGAUUUAGGAAAAUCGGCAAAAAUGAGGAAGAAAGAGAUAGAGAAAGAAGAGAGGAGGGCCAAUGUUCAUCGUGAUAUGCAUUGGAGGGGGGAGGAGG